RNAcentral lists this ribosomal RNA (253 nucleotides) under uncultured bacterium. Its description in RNAcentral is "partial 16S ribosomal RNA". It matches the Rfam family "Bacterial small subunit ribosomal RNA", at positions 524 to 776 of the family's 1533-position model. The record is from RNAcentral.
UACAGAGGUCCCAAGCGUUGUUCGGAUUCACUGGGCGUAAAGGGUGCGUAGGUGGUGAGGUAAGUCGGAUGUGAAAUCUCCAAGCUCAACUUGGAAACUGCAUUGGAAACUACCUUGCUAGAGGAUUUGAGGGGGGAUUGGAAUACUUGGUGUAGCAGUGAAAUGCGCAGAUAUCAGGAAGAACACCCGUGGCGAAGGCGGCUCUCUGGGACGGUACUGACGCUGAGACGCGAAAGCGUGGGGAGCGAACAGG